Molecule: ribosomal RNA, 486 nt
Filed under: uncultured bacterium
Lineage: Bacteria
Description: partial 16S ribosomal RNA
Rfam family: Bacterial small subunit ribosomal RNA
Source: RNAcentral
GACGAACGCUGGCGGCGUGCUUAACACAUGCAAGUUGAACGGUUUAUGGUGAUGAAGUGCCUUCGGGUAUGGAUAUCCAUAGGCAGUAGCGAACGGGUGAGUAAUGCGUGAGGACCUGCCCUGAGGAGGGGGACAGCAGUUGGAAACGGCUGGUGAUACCCCGUAUGCCGGGAGGUGAAAGGGCCUUUAUGGUCUGCCUUUGGAUGGGCUCACGUCCUAUCAGCUAGUUGGUGAGGUAACGGCUAACCAAGGCGACGACGGGUAGCCGGCCUGAGUGGGUGACCGGCCACACUGGAACUGAGACACGGUCCAGACUCCUACGGGAGGCAGCAGUGGGGAAUUUUGGGCAAUGGGGGAGACCCUGACCCAGCGACGCCGCGUGAAGGAAGAAGGUUUUCGGAUUGUAAACUUCUGUCCUUGGUGAAGGGAAGAAGACGGUAGCCAAGGAGGAAGCCCCGGCUAACUACGUGCCAGCCGCCGCGGUAA